GAUGAAGAACGUAGCGAAAUGCGAUAAGUAGUGUGAAUUGCAGAUUUUAGUGAAUCAUCGAAUUUUUGAACGCACAUUGCGCCCCUUGGUAUUCCGAGGGGCAUGCCUGUUCGAGCGUCAUUAUAACCCCUCAAGCUCAGCUUGGUAUUGGGGCCUGCCAUCCUGGCAGCCCUUAAAAUCAGUGGCGGUGCCAUCCGGCUCUAAGCGUAGUAACUCUUCUCGCUAUAGAGUCCUGGUGGAUGCUUGCCAUUAAUCUUUUAACUUCUAUGGUUGACCUCGGAUCAGGUAGGGAUACCCGCUGAACUUAAGCAUAUCAAUAAGCGGAGGA
RNAcentral lists this unclassified non-coding RNA (328 nucleotides) under soil metagenome. RNAcentral's name for it is "partial contains 5.8S ribosomal RNA, internal transcribed spacer 2, and large subunit ribosomal RNA". The stretch from base 1 to 120 matches the Rfam family "5.8S ribosomal RNA", at positions 35 to 154 of the family's 154-position model. The record is from RNAcentral.